Molecule: ribosomal RNA, 206 nt
Filed under: uncultured bacterium
Lineage: Bacteria
Description: partial 16S ribosomal RNA
Rfam family: Bacterial small subunit ribosomal RNA
Source: RNAcentral
AGACCGCAGGCUGCAACUCGCCUGCACGAAGUCGGAAUUGCUAGUAAUCGUAGGUCAGCAUACUACGGUGAAUACGCUCCCGGGCCUUGUACACACCGCCCGUCAAACCAUGAGAGUUGGCAACACCCGAAGUCGGUAGUCUAACCGCAAGGAGGACGCCGCCGAAGGUGGGGUUGAUGAUUAGGGUUAAGUCGUAACAAGGUAAC